Molecule: ribosomal RNA, 384 nt
Filed under: uncultured bacterium
Lineage: Bacteria
Description: bacterial SSU rRNA
Rfam family: Bacterial small subunit ribosomal RNA
Source: RNAcentral
AUUGAACGCUGGCGGCAUGCCUUACACAUGCAAGUCGAACGGUAACGCGGGGCAACCUGGCGACGAGUGGCGAACGGGUGAGUAAUACAUCGGAACGUGCCCAGUAGUGGGGGAUAGCCCGGCGAAAGCCGGAUUAAUACCGCAUACGACCUACGGGUGAAAGCGGGGGAUCGCAAGACCUCGCGCUAUUGGAGCGGCCGAUGUCAGAUUAGCUAGUUGGUGGGGUAAAAGCCUACCAAGGCGACGAUCUGUAGCUGGUCUGAGAGGACGACCAGCCACACUGGGACUGAGACACGGCCCAGACUCCUACGGGAGGCAGCAGUGGGGAAUUUUGGACAAUGGGGGCAACCCUGAUCCAGCCAUGCCGCGUGCGGGAAGAAGGCC